CCCUUAGAUGUUCUGGGCCGCACGCGCGCUACACUGAUGCAUUCAACGAGCCUAUCCUUGACCGACAGGUCCGGGUAAUCUUUGAAUCUGCAUCGUGACGGGGAUAGAUUAUUGCAAUUAUUAAUCUUCAACGAGGAAUGCCUAGUAGGCGCAAGUCAUCAGCUUGCGUCGACUACGUCCCUGCCCUUUGUACACACCGCCCGUCGCUCCUACCGAUUGGGUGUGCUGGUGAAAUGUUCGGAUCGGCCGUUUGUCGCGGUUUCCGCGGCUCGUGGCUGAGAAGUUCAUUAAACCCUCCCACCUAGAGGAAGGAGAAGUCGUAACA
RNAcentral lists this ribosomal RNA (325 nucleotides) under uncultured eukaryote. Its description in RNAcentral is "partial 18S ribosomal RNA". It matches the Rfam family "Eukaryotic small subunit ribosomal RNA", at positions 1470 to 1796 of the family's 1831-position model. The record is from RNAcentral.